GAAACUCCCAGUGUCACAUAGAUAGCAAGUGGCCUCACCACGAUUUGAACUGGGGGAGUUGUGCUCUGGAGUCCAAAAUCUUAACUGCUCUGGGAUACUGGGACACUGGAGCAGAAGGAUUUGGGGCAAGUCUGGAGAGGCCCAAGUGCAAUACUGAGACAUCUAGAACAAUAGGAGAGAGGAGAUCAGUUCUUUUGGGGAAGGUCAAAGAUAGAGGACAGGUGUGGAGGCUGGCAGGUCUCAGCUGACUAGAGAGAAGAACUUUCUUAAAAAAGGCAGAGCUGUCGAACAAUGGAGGGCUGCCCUACCCUGAGUGUUGAGUGCCUGGUGGCUGGCAGUCUGCAGGGAAAAUGAUGCCUCUGUGCUGGGCAUGGGGGCAGGGGCUCUUGCUGUGGUAGAGGGCUGUACAUAUGGACUCCAGAGGGCGUAAGUGAUAAUCCUCUCUUCCUUUCUCAGAACCACCUUUCUACAGGCUUUGGUGUCUCAGCGCGGGAGGCACAGAUGGCGAGGUCUGCCUUUGGCCAGGUGUGGGCGCCCAGUGUUGGGGGAGAAGACUGCAGGCACAGAAGACUGAACUCACAGGCAGAAGGAGAAAGUGAAGAGAAGAGAGGGAGAAGGGCCCUGACCGAGGCCACCAGCUUGUAAGUAGCAGCCCUAGGCUUGGGACCAGGGCCUCCUGAAGGUGACAGUCCUUUCAGCCAUGUGUCCUUGUUCCUCUAGUUACCUCCAAUUAACUCUAGGUAACCCAGCCCAGUCUUUGAUUCUGUGUUGAAAGGUGCGAGGUGCUGGAGCCGGGAAGAGGUGCGUUCUUGCUCUCGACAGGAAGUGUCAUGUGAGUUUCCGGUUCCCUCUCCUCCACUACCACUCUGGAUCCUCACACCAGCCCACAGAGGGAGACAGGAAGGGAGGCACAAAGGCAGGGCAGGGAAUACUGUGCCUGUUUUCCAGAUGAAGACACGAAGGCCAAGAGAGGGAAAGUGAGUCGGCCAAGGUCCUCCAGCUAGUCGGGGUUGAGCGUGUUUAACCUUAGGAAACGUGACUGCAGAGCAAGGGGCUUUCAUCUUCCUGUGGGAAUUCGCCCCCUUUCUCACAGGGGCCCUCAAGAGACUAGGCAGGCUCCUCCUGCAAAGGAUUCCUCUUUGUCCAUUUGAGAGGCCUCACCCCAGGCUCUAGGAGCUGACAUGAUUCAGCUCAAGGAAGACUCAGUAUGAAGGGAGAACCAGGAACCUGGGCCUCUGCCCCUCACCUGUGGCCUUGAACAGGUCACUUCUCCCCUCAAGCCUUGGUGUCCUCCCCUGUAGAGCUGAGGGGGUGAGGAGUAGAUGAGCUGAUCCUUCAGUUUGCUGCCCUCUUUGACCCGGAAGUGCUGGGCCUGCACAACCCUGCAUCCCUGGCACCAGUGCUCCUAGCCCCACCCUGCUCCAGAUGCCCAGUGCCUGAAGAGCCAGCUCCCCAUCAGCACUCAGUCCUGGGGCAGAGCCAGGCCUGGCAAUGCUGGGGGAGACCCUGGAGGGGAACAUCAUGGGCCACCAGGGGCACGCUGCAAAUGCAGCAACUAAUGCACCAGGGGCGCCAGGGUGCAAUCUAUCUAAGCAGUUCUCUCACGCUCUUUGCACGUUAAUAAUGCAUGGGCAGCCGGUGUGGGGGCCAUCACAGGCCCAACGUCAGGUGGCAUUAGGA
This 1680-nucleotide long non-coding RNA is filed under the name Homo sapiens (human). Its description in RNAcentral is "HSALNT0005666". Lineage: Eukaryota; Metazoa; Chordata; Mammalia; Primates; Hominidae. The record is from RNAcentral.